GCUCCUACGGGAGGCAGCAGUGAGGAAUAUUGGUCAAUGGUCGGGAGACUGAACCAGCCAAGCCGCGUGAGGGAAGACUGCCCUAUGGGUUGUAAACCUCUUUUGUCAGGGAGCAACGCCGGCUACGUGUAGCCGGACUGAGAGUACCUGAAGAAAAAGCAUCGGCUAACUCCGUGCCAGCAGCCGCGGUGAUACGGAGGAUGCGAGCGUUAUCCGGAUUUAUUGGGUUUAAAGGGUGCGUAGGCGGAAUGCCAAGUCAGCGGUAAAAUCGCGGGGCUCAACCUCGCUCCGCCGUUGAAGCUGGC
Molecule: ribosomal RNA, 305 nt
Filed under: uncultured bacterium
Lineage: Bacteria
Description: bacterial SSU rRNA
Rfam family: Bacterial small subunit ribosomal RNA
Source: RNAcentral